Molecule: signal recognition particle RNA, 100 nt
Filed under: Thermoflexales bacterium
Lineage: Bacteria; Bacillati; Chloroflexota; Thermoflexia; Thermoflexales
Also listed under: 1 other name
Description: signal recognition particle sRNA small type
Rfam family: Bacterial small signal recognition particle RNA
About the family: The signal recognition particle (SRP) is a universally conserved ribonucleoprotein involved in the co-translational targeting of proteins to membranes.
Source: RNAcentral
UGCUGGGUCCUGCGCGGCGGAAGCCUUCGAAACCCGCCAGGAUCGGAAGAUAGCAACGGUAAGGAGUCCCUUUCGGGUGUCGUGGGAGUGCCUGGCAACA